CUUGGUUGAUCUUGCUAGUAGUCAUAUGCUUGUCUUAAGGAUUAAGCCAUGCAUGUCUAAAUAUGAACUAAUUCAGACUGUGAAACUGCUGAUGGCUUAUUAAAUCAGUUAUAGUUUUUUUGAUGGUACUCUACUACUUGAAUAACCAUAGUAAUUCUAGAGCUAAUACAUGCACCAAGUCCCGAAUCUUUGGAAGGGAUGCAUUUUUAUAUAAAAUAUCAGCAGGGGCUUGCCCGCUUCUCUGGUGAAUCAUCAUAACUCGACAGAUUGCACAACCCUUAUGCUAGCGAUGCUUCAUUCAAAUUUCUACCCUAUCAACUUUCGAUGGUAGGAUAGAGGCCUACCAUGGUGGUGACAAGUGACAGAGAAUUAGGGUUUGAUUCUGAAGAGGGAGCCUGAGAAACAACUACCACAUCCAAGGAAGGCAGCAGGUGUGCAAAUUACCCAAUCCUGACAUGGCGAGGUACUGGCAAUAAAUAACAAUAUUGGGCUCAUUGAGUCUGGUAAUUGGAAUAAGUACAAUCUAAAUCCCUUAACGAGAAUCCAUUGGAGGGAAAUUUUGGUACCGUCAUCUGCAGUAAUUCCAGCUCCAAUAGCGUAUAUUUAAGUUGUUGUAGUUAAAAAUCUCAUAGUUGGAUCUUGGGUUGUAAAUAUCGGUCCACCUACUCGGUGUGCACCUGCCCUUCUAUCCCUUUUGUCAAUGAUGUGCUCUUAGCCUUAAUUGGCUGCCGUUACUUUGAAAAAAUUAGAGUGCUCAAAGCAAGAUUAUGCUCGGAAUACAUUAGCAUGGAAUAACAUGAUAGGAGUCUGGUCAUAUUGUGUUGGCCUUUAGGACCGGGUAAUGAUUAAUAGGGACUACCGGGGGAAUUUUUAUUUCAUUGUCAGAGGUGCAAUUCUUGGAUUUAUGAAAGAAAGACCACUGCGAAAGAAUUUUCCAAGGGUGUUUUCAUUAAUCAAGAAUGAAAGUUGGGGGCACGAAGAUGAUUAGAUACCAUCCUAGUCUCAACCAUAAAUGAUGCCGACCAUGGAUCGACAGAUGUUGUUCUAAGGACUCCGCACAUUUUGAGAAAUUAGAGUGUUUGGGUUAUAAGGGGAGUAUGGUUGCAAGGUUGAAACAUAAAGGAAUUGAUGAAAGGGCACCACCAGGAGUGAGCCUAUGGCUUAAUUUGACUCAACACGAUGAAACUUACCAAGUCCAGACAUAGAAGGAUUAACAAAUUGAGAGCUCUUUCUUGAUUCUAUGGGUGAUGGUGCAUGGCUGUUCUUAGUUGGUGGAGCGAUUUGUCUGGUUAAUUCCAAUAACAAGUGAGACCUCAACCUAAUAACUAGCUACGUGGAGGUUCCCCUUCACGGCCAGCUUCUUAGAGGGACUAUGGCCAUUUAGGGGAUGGAUGUUUGAGGUAAUAACAGGUCUGUGAUGCCCUUAGAUGUUCUAGGCCGCAAGUGCGCUACACUAAUGCAGCCAACGAGUUUUUAUUCUUGGUUUGAGAGGAUUAGAAAAUAUUCUUAAAUUGCAUCAUGAUGGGGAUAGACCAUUACAAUUAUUGGUCUUUAAUGAGGAAUUCCUAGUAAGCGCAUGUCAUCAACUCAUGUUGACUAUGUCCUUGCCCUUUGUACACACCCCCCUUCACUCCUACUGAAUGAAUGAUCCAGUGAAGUGCUUGGAUUGUGUCGAUGAUGGUGCUUAGUUGCCAUCGACAUCGUGAGAAGUUCAUUGAACCUUAUCAUUUAAAGGAAAAGGAAGUUGUAACAAUGUUAUCAUAGGUGAACUUGUGGUAG
This 1779-nucleotide ribosomal RNA is filed under the name Pinus taeda (loblolly pine). RNAcentral describes it as "SSU rRNA". It matches the Rfam family "Eukaryotic small subunit ribosomal RNA". Lineage: Eukaryota; Viridiplantae; Streptophyta; Pinopsida; Pinales; Pinaceae. The record is from RNAcentral.